GAACGAACACCCGUAAGACAAACCAUUUUUCCCCCUAAGUAUGGGCGACAGAAAAGGAGCAAAGGAGCAAUAGAAAAGUACCGUAAGGGAACGCUGAAAGAGAAAUGAAACAACCCAGUAAAGUAAAAAAAAGCAAAGAUUAACCCUUGUACCUUUUGCAUCAUGAUUUAGCCAGUGUAAAUUAAGCAAAGAGUACUUUAGUUUAACAACCCGAAACUAGGUGAGCUACUCCAAGACAGCCUAAAUUGUAGGGCGAACCCGUCUCUGUUGCAAAAGAGUGGGAAGAGCUUCGAGUAGAGGUGACAAGCCUACCGACCCUAGUGAUAGCUGGUUGCUUAAGAAUUGGAUAUGAGUUCAGCCUCCAGGCUUCUUUGUUCAGACCCAGUAGUACUUUGUAAGAUAGAGAGAACACCAGGAGAGUAAGUCAAAGGGGGUACAGCUCCUUUGACCCAAGACACAACUUUUACAGGAGGAUAAAGAUCAUACUAACUAAAGGCAUAAUUUCCCGUGGGCUUGAAAGCAGCCACCAAUUGCAAAAAGCGUCUAAGCUUAUAUACACUUAUGCUCCCCUCCCUAAUAAUGAUCAUUUAAUCUUAAUCCCCUAAGUUUAUUAAGCCGUCCUAUGCAAACAUAGGAGUGACUAUGCUAAUAUGAGUAAUUAGAGAGCUCACACCUCUCUCCCUGCACACGUGUAAAUCAGAAUGGAUACCCCACUGAAUAUUAGCGGCCCCAAACCAAGAGGGAACUAAGUAAGACAUCGAUAGACAAGAAAACCACUUAACAAAUAACCGUUAACCCUACACAGGAGUGCUCACGAGGAAAGACUAAAAGAAGGAGAAGGAACUCGGCAAACAUCAAGCCUCGCCUGUUUACCAAAAACAUCGCCUCUUGUCCCCCUGAAAAUAAGAGGUCCAACCUGCCCUGUGACUAUAUGUUCAACGGCCGCGGUAUUUUGACCGUGCGAAGGUAGCGUAAUCACUUGUCUCUUAAAUGGAGACCUGUAUGAAUGGCAUUACGAGGGCUUAACUGUCUCCUCCCUCAGGUCAGUGAAAUUGAUCUCCCCGUGCAGAAGCGGGGAUAAGAACAUAAGACGAGAAGACCCCGUGGAGCUUUAGAUGCAAGAGCAGCGCAUGUUACACACCCCUAAGCAAGGAUUAAAACUUUAUGCCCCCCUGCCCUAAUGUCUUCGGUUGGGGCGACCGCGGAUUAAAUUUAACCUCCGUGUGGAAUGGGAGUACUUCAAUUCAUAUUUCCUCCUAAAACUAAGAGCGACAGCUCUAAGAAACAAAACUUUUGACCUAAGAAGAUCCGGCAACGCCGAUCAACGAACCGAGUUACCCCGGGGAUAACAGCGCAAUCCUCUUCUAGAGCCCCUAUCGACAAGAGGGUUUACGACCUCGAUGUUGGAUCAGGACAUCCUAAUGGUGCAGCCGCUAUUAAGGGUUCGUUUGUUCAACG
Molecule: ribosomal RNA, 1458 nt
Filed under: Hemanthias leptus (longtail bass)
Lineage: Eukaryota; Metazoa; Chordata; Actinopteri; Perciformes; Anthiadidae
Description: partial 16S ribosomal RNA
Rfam family: Bacterial large subunit ribosomal RNA
Source: RNAcentral